AUUAAUUUGAUUAUAAAUGAACUAUUUAAAUUUAGGGCAUGUUUGAGCCACAAUAUUCUAAAAAAUGUAUUUUUAAACAGUGAUUUGAUAUCAUUUCAAUCACACAUUCUUCAAUAAAAUAAUAUUACACACAAAUCAAAAUAUUUUCCUUAUUUUUUAACUACACAUUUCCCAUCAAUACACUAUUCAAGAAUACAUUAUUACCAAAAUAAUGUGGCUCAAACACCCCCUUAAAUAAUUGAACAUUAGAUUUGGGUUGGGAAUGAAGUUAAUUGUGCUAAAAAUUAAUUUAUAGACUAGGCUAAAUUUUUAUUCUUCUUUAUUUCACCAAUAAAUUGGACUGAAUUUUCCAUUUUUUACAAGUCAAUUAGCUAUUGGGCUGAGGCUGGGCUACAGCCCACCCCAGCCCCCCUCUCCCUCCGUCUCUGGUGAUGGCUGUCAUAUUAACUAUUUUAAGUUGGCAACUGAGGUAUUCAGCAAGUAUUUUAUCUUCCAUGGAACCAGGCAUACUGAUGAAUACAAACAUAGAAAGAGUACUUACAAAAGAUGUAACAUGACAGGAUAGAAAUUGAAUGAAUGAUGGCUUUAACAUAUAAAUCACUGCAACAUUGGUUACACAGGCCAUUAAUUAAUUAAUGCAUGUAAAUUUGGUAAAUUGUUCAAUAAUGCUGCAGAGUCUUUUAUCUUCAUAGGUCUUAUUAUCGAAUUUUAUAUCGACGGCAAAAUAGCAUAAAAACUCUAGACCAAACCAAUAGCCAAAAUAUUGAGCCAGAGCCGGCCUUGAGAAUUAGGAGGCCCUAAGCAACAAAAUAUUUUGAGGCCCACGUACUUUUUUCUUUUACACGUGUAACAAUAUUAAAUUAAAUAAAAAAAUAUAUCUAUAUUUAAAUGAAAAAUUUGUACAAUCUAAAAGAUAAAAUUGCAAAAUUAAAAAUCACUUACAAUCCGAGAUAUUAGGCUAGCAUCAUCUCUUGUGACAUGGUUGAUCGAAGAUAAGAUUUAAUCAAUUUCAACUUUGAAAAACUUCUUUCAACGGAUGCAACGACAACGGUACAGGAGAGAAGCAUACCUUCAAUGACAAAGAAACUGCACGUGCAAGCUCAGUAUCUUCUAGAUGGGACUGCCUAGGCUGAUGAGUGGGAUUCCUAAGAUCCUGUAUCAGAUCAACAUAUUUCGAUAAUUACAACUCACAUUACAGGGAAAAAAUGACUCAUACAUUCAAACUGAAUCACAUACAACGUGAUCAUCAAAUUGUUGAUUUGACAUUGCAGCAUCCCAUUUGGAAGCCUCAAUGUGCAGUUUAAGAAACAUCUUCAAUUAUAGGAGUAGUAUCAGACAACCAGAAGCUCCACUACCAUCCUUAACCUCAAUUGGGAUCUCCCUCACCUCUCUUGGAUGUGAAACAAAUGAUGAACCACUACCAAAACCAGUACCACUAUCAAAUAUAGUUCUGGUGAAGUUUGGAUCAAGUAAAGAAAAUGGAUUCAAAUCCCUAGCAGAGGGUAAUAGCGAAAAAGGUCUAAGGGUUCAGCUAGAAUCGGGUCAUCUAUAUCCAUAACAUCAUUCCAAGGAGCAGUGAAAGAUGCCUCUUGCGUUCUAAACACAGAGAAACAAUAAUGUAAUAGAAGAUGUUUUGAUUUAAAAGUACAUAGGUAUUUGAAGGGAAAGAAGAAGGAAAAAAAGAAAGAUUCAAAAGGACUGGAAAAAUGCCUACAUGUUUCUAUACCUCACUGAAAUGUGAAUUGACAGCUUCAUUCAGGUUGCCAUGAUGCUCCUUCUCAACACAGCACAUAUAAUAUACUUGGGCAAUAAAAUCAAACACAACAUUCAAAACCUCCUUUCAAAUAAAUUAUUUUGCAGGUUAGUUUGCAUACCAAAAAAAAAAAAAAAUAGAGGGCAACAGCACAUAAAGGUUUCACAUAUCAUAAAAUUCUAAGAUAACCAAUGAUUAAUGAAUUUCAAUAUUCUUCCAGUUAAUCAAAGAUUCUGGCUCUGCAAACUUAGUGGUUUAAUCAUCACACCAUCCAAAUUCAGUAUAAUUUCUUCCUCGUCUACCAAUAAUCAUCAUUCUAAAUUCCAAAAAUCCAAAGACAGAAAGAGCUUUGCUAUUAAUUAUUAUAUGAUAAACCAAUUACAAUUUACCUGAAUAGAUGAGCAGGGUCGGGAAAAAACAGCAAACUUUUGGAAGGAGAUGUCUUCUGCCGACUGCCGAGAUGGGCGCUAGAAAGCCAGGAGACUGAGGAGAGGAGGAUACUGAUUACUGAAGAAUUAUGAUUUUUGAAUUGGAAAAAGUAAAAUGUAAUCAAGCGGUGGAAGAUUGGAAAUCCAACCCUUAACCCUUUUCUAUUUCGAAUUGGAGCUCGUAUGAAUUUGGAAUUUGCAGAGGAGAUUUGGGAAUUCUGAAUGGAAGAAGAAGACUUUCCCUUCGGCUGAAUGGGUGAUAGGUCCCUUCAAUUUCAUUUUCCUUCCUGCACCAGCGUUUGGCGUCCCUUUCCUUCUUUAACCCUUUCAAUUUGAUGCCCAGGUGCUGGACUGCCGGUAUGAAAUCUAAGGCCCUGGGCCCAAUCCACAUUUUUGAGGCCCUAGGCCUUUGCCUAGGUGGCUUAGCCUCAGGAUCGGCCCUGAAUACAAGGAACAAAUGGAACAAUAAGAACACAAUCCCAUGUCCUUCAUGCACAAAACCAAUAAUAAAAGCCAAAAAAGAAGCUUAGAGAAGAAAAGGAUAUGCUCCCCUUCCCCAUAAAGAAUACAAUCACUCAUACAAGAUGAGUAAAUUAAUCAUUUUCGCUGAUUGGAUGAUAUAAUAAUGAAAACCUUUCACCUAAAAUACCAGAAAACAUAAGCUGUCAGCUCAUAUCCAUCUCUGAUCCUCGAUCAAACAAAAGCAGCCGUCUGGAGCAAAUAGCAACAAAUAGAGAUAAAGAGAGUAAAGACGUGCUACAUAUUUUGAGUUCGAUCUCUGUAUACAUUUUCAGCCAUUACGUAUCAAGGAAGAAGUAGAGAAAAAAUGAAUGGAAAGAAAAGAAAGAACCGAUUUAUUACAUAAUAUAUGAUUAUGCACUUAUAUAUUUGAGAGAGAUCUUCAACCACAAAAAAUGCUAGUUGAUAAGGUUUAACUGUGUCAAAAUCAUGCAUCCGAAUAAGAGUGAGUGUUUUUCUUUCGAAGGACAGGAGAAGAAAUUUGGGUGCAGCCGAUGCAGAAAUUAGGACGCUUUCUUCAAAAGGACGAACGAAAAUAAGAGCAAAAUUGUGGUACUUCUCAAACUAUGUGAAUUGCACUAAGUAAAACUUUUAUCAAGAUUUUUACUGUAAUAAACAGAAUCCUAACCUGCUAUAGAUAAAGAUGUAGGGAUUGGCAAAUAAUAGCAUCUGCAGAUUACAAAGAUAUAGUUAGUAGUUAUACUGAAGAAUCCUAAACUUGCAGAUUCUAGAUGCAUCUUUAGUUAUCAGCAAGAAAAAUAUCGCAUUUACGAUAAUCCAAAAGAGAUCGUUCCAGUUGUGCUGUAGGGAGAUGCGACAAAUUUUCUCGAAAGCUAUACUUGAAAGAAGAUGAGCAAUCAAGAUCAAUGACAAGAAUCCAACCC
RNAcentral lists this long non-coding RNA (3584 nucleotides) under Olea europaea (common olive). Its description in RNAcentral is "long non-coding RNA (OEUR_LNC007815)". The record is from RNAcentral. Lineage: Eukaryota; Viridiplantae; Streptophyta; Magnoliopsida; Lamiales; Oleaceae.